AGUGAACGCUGGCGGUAGGCCUAACACAUGCAAGUCGAACGGCAGCACAGUAAGAGCUUGCUCUUACGGGUGGCGAGUGGCGGACGGGUGAGGAAUACAUCGGAAUCUACUUUUUCGUGGGGGAUAACGUAGGGAAACUUACGCUAAUACCGCAUACGACCUACGGGUGAAAGCAGGGGAUCUUCGGACCUUGCGCGAUUGAAUGAGCCGAUGUCGGAUUAGCUAGUUGGCGGGGUAAAGGCCCACCAAGGCGACGAUCCGUAGCUGGUCUGAGAGGAUGAUCGGCCAAACGGGAACUGAGACACGGUCAAGACCCCUAGGGGAGGCAGCAGGGGGGAAUAUGGGAAAAUGGGCGAAAGCCUGAUCCAGCCAUACCGCGUGGGUGAAGAAGGCUUUCGGGUUGUAAAGCCCUUUUUUGGGGAAAAAAAAGCAGCAGGUUAAUACCCCGCUGUUCUGACGGUACCCAAAAAAUAAGCACCGGCUAACUUCGU
Molecule: ribosomal RNA, 491 nt
Filed under: uncultured bacterium
Lineage: Bacteria
Description: partial 16S ribosomal RNA
Rfam family: Bacterial small subunit ribosomal RNA
Source: RNAcentral